UACAGCUUCUUUGCUACUGAGCGAGCAAACUAUUACUGUGAGGCCAAAAAUAUGCUUGGUAGUGAGAGAUCGAAAACCAUCUGUAUUGACAUCAUUGAUGCUCCUUUGACUCCCAGAAUUGAUAUCCCUUUUGGUGAUCUGAAGGAGGGCCAGUCUAUCACUAUAACCUGCUCAGCUUCAACUCCGUGUCUACUCUCACCUCCUAAACUCACCUGGAAUCUCCAACAAGACUCUCUCAGACACACAGAGAAAAACAAAGAUGGAACCUUUACAACUAAAAUCCAGAAGAACAUCAUUCUGUCAGACACACAUGAUGGAUACAACAUCAGAUGUUCCUCCAGACAUCCUGCGGCUGAAAAAAGCAACAUAGCAAAGACAGAAGUGACUCUCAGUGUUUCAUAUGCUCCUAGAAACACCUCAGCAUCCAUCAAGUCCAUCAGCUUUGGUGUCAGCAGGUAGCAGGGUGGAGCUGAACUGCUCCAGCAGAGCCAAACCUCCACCCAGCUUCACCUGGUUCAGGAACAGCGAACGUGGAUUCAUUAAAGUGGCUUCAGUGUUCAGUAUGAGCUUCAGUGCUGCUGAGCGAGGAGACUAUUACUGUGAGGCCACAAAUAGGCUUGGUAGUGAGAAAUCGAAAAGCAUCUGUCUUGACCUCAUUGAUGCUCCUUUGACUCCCAGAAUUGAUAUCCCUUUUGGUGAUCUGAAGGAGGGCCAGUCUAUCACUAUAACCUGCUCAGCUUCAACUCCGUGUCCACAAUCACUUCCUGAACUCACCUGGAAUCUCCAACAAGACUCUCUCAGACAAACAGAGAAAAACACAGAGGGAAUCUUUACAACUAAAAUCCAGAAGAACAUCACUCUGUCAGACACACAUGAUGGAUACAACAUCAGAUGUUCUUCCAGACAUCCUGCGGCUGAAAAAAGCAACAUAGCAAAGACAGAAGUGACUCUCA
Xiphophorus hellerii (green swordtail) is the source of this 953-nucleotide long non-coding RNA. RefSeq lists it as uncharacterized. Lineage: Eukaryota; Metazoa; Chordata; Actinopteri; Cyprinodontiformes; Poeciliidae. The transcript is spliced from 4 exons. The record is from RefSeq and is a predicted model, not a curated record.